Molecule: transfer RNA, 92 nt
Filed under: Caenorhabditis elegans
Lineage: Eukaryota; Metazoa; Nematoda; Chromadorea; Rhabditida; Rhabditidae
Description: Unclassified non-coding RNA T25E4.3
Source: RNAcentral
AAAACUUUGCAAAACCGUAGGUCCUAGCCGGGUUCGAACCGGCGAUCUUCUGCGUGUAAAGCAGACGUGAUAACCACUACACCAUAGGACCG